GUUGGUGUUCCCUCGAAGCGGAAAGGGUGAUGUAGCGUAGCGGUGGUAAGUACUUCCCUCAGUUUGAGAACCAAGGUAUCAAUCCAGUGGUGGAGUAUCUCAAGAUCCUGCACAAACACAACAACUUGCUCCCAACGCUAUGAAGGGGUUGUCAAUCCCUUAUAGAUUGUUUGCCAAGAGAGAAUUGAAAGCAACAAAGUAACAAAGCAAAGUAAAAGCGGAGGUGUAAACGAUGGAUGUGAAUAGACCCGGGGGCCGUACUGUUUACUAGUGGCUUCUCUCAUGAAAGCAAGUAGAUGGUGGGUGAACAAACUACUGUCGAGCAAUUGAUAGAACCGCGCAAAGUCGUGACGAUAUCUAUGCAAUGAUUGUUUCUAUAGGCAUCACGUCCGAAACAAGUAGACCGAUACUUUCCGCAUCUACUACUAUUACUCCACACGUCGACCGCUAUCCAGCAUGCAUCUAGUGUAUUAAGUCCAUAGAAACAGAGUAACGCCUUAAGCAAGAUGACAUGAUGUAGAGGGAUAAUCUCAAACCAAUGAUAAAAGCCCUAUCUUUUUACCCUUGAUGGCAACUACUUGAUGUGUGCCUUGCUGCCCCUACUGUCACUGGGAAAGGUCACCACAUGGUAGAACCCAAAACCAAGCACUUCUGCCAUUGCAAGGAUCAUAGAUCUACUUGGCCAAACAAAACCCAAGACUCGGAGAGACUUACAAGGAUAUCAAACCAUGCAUAUAAGAAAUCAGCAAAGACUCAAAUAUAUAUCAUAGAUAAUCUGAUCACAAACCCACAAUUCAUCGGAUCUCGACAAACACACCGCCAAAGAAGAUUACAUCGGAUAGAUCUCCAUGAAGAUCAUGGAGAACUUUCUAUUGAAGAUCCAAGAGAGAGAAGAAGCCAUCUAGCUACUAACUACAGACCCGUAGGUCUAAAGUGAACUACUCACGAGUCAUUGGCGGGGCCCCCCCCCCUCCAACUCCAAAGUCCCCUCCGGCAGGGUGCCGAGAAGGGUCUCCAGAUGAGAUCUCGCGGAAACGGAAGCUUGCGGCAGCGGAAAAGUAUUUUCGAGGCUCCCCUGAUUUUUUGCGGAAUAUUUGGGAAUUUAUAGGCCAAAGACCUAGGUCAGGGGGCGGCCAGGGAGGCCACAAGCCUGCCCACUGUCGCCUCCCCCUAGUGGCGGAGUGAGGGCUUGUGGGCUCCCUGGAGCCCACCUGGCUUGGCCCAAAGGCCCCCUGGUCUUCUUCCGUUCGGGAAAAAAUCAUUUCGGGGUUUUUCUUCCGUUUGGACUCCGUUCCAAAAUCAGAUCUGAAAAGAGUCAAAAACACGGAAAAAAUAGGAACUGGCACUUGGCACUGAAUUAAUAAGUUAGUCCCAAAAAAGAUAUAAAAGGUACAUAAAACAACCAAAGAAGACAAGAUAACAGCGUGAAACCAUCAAAAAUUAUAGAUACGUUUGAGACGUAUCAAGCAUCCCCAAGCUUAACUCAUGCUCGUCUUCGAGUAGGGAAGUGAUAAGAAUGAAUUUUUGAUGCUUUCAUGCUACAUAGCAUAGGUGUCCUUUAUAAUUCCUCUUAUGUGACGUGAAUGUUCGGAUCCAUUAGAGUCAAAACAAUAGAUUGCUAUUGACGUGGAAACAAUAAUAAUUCAAGCAAACUAGCAAAGUAAUCAUGAACUUUCAAAAUAACAAGGCCAAAAGAAAGUUAUCCCUACAAAAGCAUAUAGUCUGGCUAUGCUCUAUCAUCAUUGCACAACGAAUUUAAAUCAUGCACAACUCCGGUAUUGGCCAAGUAAUUGUUUCACACCUUUACUUUCUCAAACAUUUUCAACUCUCACGCAAUACAUGAGCAUGAGACAUGGUUAUAGCACUAUAGAUGGUGUGGAAUGUGAUGGAGGUUGCAAGACAAAAAAGGAGAAGAUAGUCACAUCAACUAGGCAUAUCAAUGAGCUAUGGAGAUGCUCAUCAAUAGAUAUCAAUGUGAAUGAGUAGGGAUUGCCAUACAAAUGAUGCACUAGAGCUACGAGUAUGUGAAAGCUCUUAAAGAAAACUAGUGGGUGUGCAUCCAACUUUCUUGCUCACAAAGACCUAAGGCAAUUUUGAGGAAGCCUAUCAUUGGAAUAUACAAGCCAAGUUAUAUAAUGAAAAUUUCCCACUAGCUAUAUGGUGGUGAAAAAACGAGAGACUCUCAAUCAUGAAGAUCAUGGUGCUUAAUAUGCACAAGUGUGGAAAAAGUGGUAGCAUUGUCCCUUCUCUCUUUUUCUCUCCUUUUUUUUAUUUUGGUGGGCUCUUUGGCCUCUUUUUUAUGGGCUUAUUUGGCCUAUUUUAUUUCCUCACAUGGGACAAUGCUCCAAUAAUGACGAUCAUCACACUUUCAACUCAAAACUUAGAGCAACUAUGACUCUAUAUGGAAUGCCUUCGGUAGUGUACCGUGGAAAUGAUCUAGCAUGGCCUAGACAUCAAUGGAAACAUCAUGCUAGCUAUCUUACGAUCAUGCAAAGGAAAUGUAGACGUGGUGGAACAUGUCAUGGUGGUAGUUGCAUGGCAAUAUAUCUCGAAUUGACUUUGAAAAAGCCAUAAUAGGUAGGUAUGGUGGCUUUUUUGAGGGAGGCUAAUGGUGGGUUUUGUGCACCGGCGAAAGUUGCACGGCACUAAGAAGAUAGUGAUGGUGGAAGGUGAAAGUGCAUCUAAACCAUGGACUCAACAUUAGUCAAGAAGAACUCAUAUACUUGUUGCAAAAGUUUUAUUAGUAAUCGAAACAAAGCAUUCAACGCAUACUCCUAGGGGAAGGGUUGGUAGGUAUAAACCAUCGCGCGAUCCCGACCGCCACGCAAAGGAUGACAAUCAAUAUACUAAUCAUGCUCAGAUUUCAUCACAUAGCGGUUCACCAUACGUGCAUGCUACGGGAAUCACUAACUUCAACACAAGUAUUUUUAGAUCCACAACACCUUACUAGCAUGACUUCAAUAUUACCAUAACCACAACUCAAAACUAAUUGACAUGAAUCAAACUUCAAAACUAUUCAAUGCACAUGAAGGUGGAAGUUUUCGUAUCCCUUUGGAUAACUACCCCUUUUGAGACUACUUUCAAAGCAUAGAUCAACUACCAAGCCACGACCGCUGCGCUCCAAAAUAUAUAAGUGAAUCACAUAGAGCAAAAGUAUCUAGCUCAAAAGAUAUAAGUGAAGCACAUGUGAGCUGAAUUGUCUACCAAAAGAUAUAAGUGAAGCUCGACAAAAUCACGGUGUGUGCAUGUCUCUCUCUCUAGGUGUGCAGCAAGGAUGAUUGUGACACAACAAAAAUAAAAGACUCCUACGAUACAAGACGCUCCAAGCAAAAACACAUAACAUGUGGUGAAUAAAAAUAUAGCCCCAAGUAACGUUACCGAUGGAUCGAAGACGAGAGAGGGGAUGCCUUCCCGGGGCAUCCCCAAGCUUAGGCUUUUACGGCAUCCUUGAAUCUUUUGGGGUGCCUUGGGCAUCCCCAAGCUUGAUAUCUUGCCACUCUUUAUCUCUUUGUCCAUAAGAACUUUACCCAAAACUUGAAAACUUCACAACACGAAACUUAAACAGAAACUCGUGAUAACAUUAGUACAAGAAAGCAAACCACCACUUCCUUAGGUACUGUAGCAAACUUAAAUUCUACUUGUGCUGAUGUUGGGUUACUGUACUUUCAAUCUUCCAUGGCUAAUACCCCCCGAUACUAAGCAUAGUUUCAUCAAAAUAAGCAACCAACACAACAAAAACAGAAUCUGUUAACAGCAGACCAGUCUGUAGCAAUCUAUAUAUUUCGUAUACCUCUGGUACUUCAAAAAUUCUGAAAACUUACGACAGUCUGAAGAAUUUGCGUAGCAAUCAGCAGAAAAACGAAUCAACUCAAAAGCUCUUACAGAAAAGAAAUGAAAAUUCUUUUCGUGAGCAGAAAGUUUCUGUCUUUUCCAGCAUCCAAACGAUCAUCCCCAAGACUAAUCAUAACGGUUUUGCUUGGCACAAACGCAAAAAGAAACACAAAAAACACAAUCAUAACAGAAUUAUGGAAGUGUAGAAAACACAAAAUAGAAAGAAAAAGGAUAGAUUCAUUGGAUUGCCUCCCAACAAGCGCUUUUGUUUAACGCCCUUAGCUAGGCGAAAGUGAUGGAAUCACGUAUAGUCAUCUUUGGUGCUCAAACCAUAAGUAGCCCUCAUCAUCGAUUCAUAAGGCAAUCUUAUUUUCUUUCUAGGAAAGUGCUCCAUGACCUUCUUUAAAGGAAAUUGAAAUCUAAUAUUGCCUUCCUUCAUAUCGAUGAUAGCACCAAUAGUCCUUAGGAAAGGUCUACAAAGAAUAAUGGGACAUGAAGGAUUGCAAUCUAUGUCAAGUACAAUGCAAUGCACCUGUACAUAGUUCUUAUUUGCAACAAUAAGAACAUCAUCGAUCCUCCCCAUGGGUUUCUUGACAGUAGAAUCCGCAAGAUGCAAAUUAGGAGAACACUCUUCAAUCUCAUGAAAACCAAGAAUAUCACAUAAAGACUUUGGAAUCGCGGAAACACUAGCACCCAAAUCACACAAAGCGUUGCACUCAUAGUUUUUUUAUCUUGAUUUUCAUAGUAGGUUCCCACUCAUCAUGAAGUUUUCUAGGUAUAGAGACUUCUAGUUCAAGCUUCUCUUCAAGACAUUUCAUCAUAGCAUCUACGAUAUGCGCGAUAAAGGCUUUGCUUUGGCUAUAAGCAUGUGGAGUGUUUGCAAUGGAUUGCAUCAAAGAAAUGCAUUCAAACAAGGAGCAAUUAUCAUAAUUGAAUUCCUUGAAAUGCAAAGUGGGAGUUUCAUUACUACCCAAAAUUUUGAGUUCUUCUACUCCACUCUCCACACCUUUAUCAUCAAGAUAGGUGGACUCCGAAUCAUUGGGACGUUUUUCAACCAAAGUGGAUUCAUAUCCAGCCCCUCCAUAAGUAGGUUUGACACGCGAAAACAAAGAUUCAAGAGGAGACACACCAAGCACUUUAAGAUCUUCGUGAUGUGCAUCACUAGAACGCACCCUUUUAAACCAUUCAUGUCUAGCGCGAAUUUGGGCGGUUCUUUCUUUGCUCUCAUUCAUGGAGAUACGCAUAGCUUUCAAAGUUUCAUCCAAGUUGAUCUUGGGAGGAGCGCAUCUAACUUUCAAAGCAUCAAUAUCACAAGACAUGUUAUCAACGCUUUUAGCCAAAUCGUCUAUUUUGAGUAGUUUUUCCUCUAUGGACGCAUUGAAAAUCUUUUGAGAGUUGAUGAACUCUUUGAUAUUACUCUCUAAAUCAGAGGGUAAUUUGUUGUGAUUUCCAUAAGUGUUGUUGUAGGAAUUGCCAUAAUUUUUAGAGGAGUUACUAGGAAAAGGCCUAGGAACAUAGUUUCCUCUAAAAGCAUUGUUGUUGCCAAAAUUGUUCCUACCAACAAAAUUCACGUCCAAACUAGCGUUGCUACUCUCAAUAAAAGAAGAUAGUGGCAUGUCAUUAGGAUCUACGGUAGCGUUCCUACUAGCAACCAAAUUCAUCAACUCGUCCAUCUUAGCACUAAGCGAGUUAAUCUCUUCUAUAGCGUGCACCUUUUUGCUAGCAGGCGACCUUUCAGUGUGCCACUGAGAGUAGUUGGUCAUGAUAUUGUCUAGGAGUUUUGUAGCGUCUCCUAACGUGAUUUCCAUGAAUUUUCCACCUGAGCGAAUUUCAAGCCAGCGUAAAAUAUUUGUAUAAUCAUCCACAAACUCAAGCCAUGAAUGGGACAAUUUCUAAUCAUAAGCUUCAUCCUCUCCCAAGAUUGUGCAACGUGUUCAUGAUCAAGUUGCUUGAAAUUCAUGAUAUCGUUACGUAAGGAGAUGAUCUUAGCCGACGGAAAAUACUUGGAUAUGUAAGCAUCUUUGCAUCUAUCCCAAGAAUCGAUACUAUUUUUAGGCAAAGAAGAAAACCAAGUUUUUGCGCGAUCUCGCAACGAGAAAGGAAAAAGUUUCAACUUAAUCACGUCAUUAUCCACAUCUCUUUUCUUUUGCAUAUCGCAAAGCUCAAUGAAGGUAUUGAGAUGGGAUGCGGCAUCUUCACUAGGAAGGCCAGAGAAUUGCUAUUUCGUAACAAGAUUCAGCAAAGCUGCGUUGAUUUCAUACGAUUCCGCACUAGUGGCGGGAGCAAUCGGAGUACUAAUAAAAUCAUUAUUAUUAGUGCUCAAGAAGUCGCAAAGUUUGGUGUUUUCAGACAUGAUGUCUUCAACAAAACAACAAGCACACAAGCAAGCAAGAAACCGACAAAGGAAAACGGCAAGGGCAAAAGAAAACGGCGAAGGCGAAUGAAAACGGCAAAUGUGAAGUGGGGGAGAGGAAAAUGAGAGGCAACUGGCAACAAAAGUAAAUGCAAGAGAAGAAUUUGUGAGACCUACUUGGAUAGAUCUUGAUUUCUCCUCCCCGGCAACGGCGCCAGAAAUACUUCUGCUACUGCAACAAAAGACCUUCCAACGGCGCAAGAAAUAGGAGUGUUGCCUGAUACUCCUCAGCAAUGGCACCAGGAAUCCUUCAGCUGCGGCUACACCUUAAGGGACUUCCUAGGCAAGUAUGCAAAGGAUUUCCCCCGUGGCCUUGAAGCCUUGCGUUGGUGUUCCCUCGAACUGGAAAGGGUGAUAUAGCGUAGCGGUGGUAAGUACUUCCCUCAGUUUGAGAACUAAGGUAUCAAUCCAGUGGAGGAGUAUCUCAAGAUCCUGCACAAACACAAAAACUUGCUCCCAACGCUAUGAAGGGGUUGUCAAUCCCUUAUAGAUUGUUUGCCAAGUGAGGACUGAAAGCAACAAAGUAACAAAGCAAAGUAAAAGCGG
This 6790-nucleotide long non-coding RNA is filed under the name Hordeum vulgare. RNAcentral's name for it is "long non-coding RNA (HVUL_LNC001831)". Lineage: Eukaryota; Viridiplantae; Streptophyta; Magnoliopsida; Poales; Poaceae. The record is from RNAcentral.